RNAcentral lists this ribosomal RNA (386 nucleotides) under uncultured bacterium. RNAcentral describes it as "bacterial SSU rRNA". It matches the Rfam family "Bacterial small subunit ribosomal RNA", at positions 28 to 417 of the family's 1533-position model. The record is from RNAcentral.
GACGAACGCUGGCGGCGUGCUUAACACAUGCAAGUCGAACGGUAAGGCCCUUCGGGUACGACGAGUGGCGAACGGGUGAGUAACACGUGGGUGAUCUGCCCUGCACUUCGGGAUAAGCCUGGGAAACUGGGUCUAAUACCGGAUAGGACCAUGGACUUCACGGUUUGUGGUGGAAAGCUUUUGCGGUGUGGGAUGGGCCCGCGGCCUAUCAGCUUGUUGGUGGGGUAAUGGCCUACCAAGGCGACGACGGGUAGCCGGCCUGAGAGGGUGUCCGGCCACACUGGGACUGAGAUACGGCCCAGACUCCUACGGGAGGCAGCAGUGGGGAAUAUUGCACAAUGGGCGCAAGCCUGAUGCAGCGACGCCGCGUUGAGGGAUGACGGCCU